This 686-nucleotide ribosomal RNA is filed under the name fungal sp. K19. Its description in RNAcentral is "SSU rRNA". It matches the Rfam family "Eukaryotic small subunit ribosomal RNA", at positions 423 to 1115 of the family's 1831-position model. Lineage: Eukaryota; Fungi. RNAcentral also lists the same sequence under 2 other names. The record is from RNAcentral.
AGGCAGCAGGCGCGCAAAUUACCCAAUCCCGAUACGGGGAGGUAGUGACAAUAAAUACUGAUACGGGGCUCUUUUGGGUCUCGUAAUUGGAAUGAGAACAAUUUAAAUCCCUUAACGAGGAACAAUUGGAGGGCAAGUCUGGUGCCAGCAGCCGCGGUAAUUCCAGCUCCAAUAGCGUAUAUUAAAGUUGUUGCAGUUAAAAAGCUCGUAGUUGAACCUUGGGUCUGGCUGGCCGGUCCGCCUCACCGCGAGUACUGGUCCGGCUGGACCUUUCCUUCUGGGGAACCCCAUGGCCUUCACUGGCUGUGGGGGGAACCAGGACUUUUACUGUGAAAAAAUUAGAGUGUUCAAAGCAGGCCUUUGCUCGAAUACAUUAGCAUGGAAUAAUAGAAUAGGACGUGCGGUUCUAUUUUGUUGGUUUCUAGGACCGCCGUAAUGAUUAAUAGGGAUAGUCGGGGGCGUCAGUAUUCAGCUGUCAGAGGUGAAAUUCUUGGAUUUGCUGAAGACUAACUACUGCGAAAGCAUUCGCCAAGGAUGUUUUCAUUAAUCAGGGAACGAAAGUUAGGGGAUCGAAGACGAUCAGAUACCGUCGUAGUCUUAACCAUAAACUAUGCCGACUAGGGAUCGGACGGGACUCUAUGAUGACCCGUUCGGCACCUUACGAGAAAUCAAAGUUUUUGGGUUCU